Molecule: ribosomal RNA, 263 nt
Filed under: uncultured archaeon
Lineage: Archaea
Description: partial 16S ribosomal RNA
Rfam family: Archaeal small subunit ribosomal RNA
Source: RNAcentral
ACACGACUACAUUAGAUACCCCUGUAGUCCAGGGUGUAAACGCUGCGGGCUUGGUGUUGGGGGUCCUUUGUGGGCGCCCAGUGCCGGAGAGAAGUUGUUAAGCCUGCUGCUUGGGGAGUACGUCCGCAAGGAUGAAACUUAAAGGAAUUGGCGGGGAGCACCGCAACGGGAGGAGCGUGCGGUUCAAUUGGAUUCAACGCCGGACAACUCACCAGGAGCGACGGUUACAUGAAGGCCAGGCUGAUGACCUUGCCUGAUUUCCG